RNAcentral lists this non-coding RNA (30 nucleotides) under Rattus norvegicus (Norway rat). The record is from RNAcentral. Lineage: Eukaryota; Metazoa; Chordata; Mammalia; Rodentia; Muridae.
UGGGCUUGUUAGUAUGGUGCUCUCUAUAGC